UCUUAAAAACCACAGGUUUAUUUGUUAGGAUUUAGAGUUUGUUUUGUUUUGUUUUGUUUUGUUUUGUUUUGUUUUGUUUUGUUUUGUUUUGUUUUGUUUUGUUUUGUUUUGUUUUGUUUUGGCCUUCUGGCCCACACUCCAUUCCAGAAGGUGGCGGUAAUGCACCUAAACGUUGUUUGCCAACGGCCAUUAAACAACAACAGAAGAAGAAGAAGCUAACAUUACUUGUUAGCCUGUGCAAUCGAGUAAGGGUUUUCUUUUAUUUAAAGUUAGAAUAAAAACACAACACAUUUAUCUUAUCAUCAAGUGGUCCAAGGCGUUGUUUACAUUACGUGCUGCAUUCAAUUGUCACAUAGGGACCUCCUUCCUUGUCGCCUCCCAACAGGAAGCCACGGGGUCAGGCCGAGUUGAGUCCCACGUCAGGAUUGUCCCCACGCUGACCUGAGCCUGACUGGCCUCCCAGCUAAAAGCCCCUGUGAAGAAACAUCUUUGCGCUGAUGAGCCGAAGGUGAAAAAAAAACCCUCCUCGCCCUCUCCCCCAGCUGAACAUCUGUCUCCUCGGUGUUGGCUUCACCGCCGACUCUGACGCCUCCAGAUGGAGAGCCUGCUGGGAGCGCUGAGGGAUUACCUCCAGAGUCGGCAGAGARCACUCGUUUUCUGCACCGCUCUCUUUCUGCUGCCGUCGAAUCUGUUGCCUCGCGAGUCCACCAAAGAGCAGGCUUUGUUUUUAUUUUAUUUUUAUUUUUUAAAGCACGUCAAACAUCUGAGCUCUUCUUCUAAAUCCACAGCAAUAAACUGUGAAUUCUUGUAUUCAUUCUUGUGAAAGAGCUCAACGAUUUCUUUUCUUAAUGACGCUUUAAAGAGAUGAAAGUUCACACGGUUUGGUCAGAAUGUUCCACAAUCUCGUUAGCUUGAAUAUUAAAAGCAAUACCUGCAAAUAUCUAAAGCGUAAAAAAAAUAAUAAUAAUAAUAAAAUGGGAGUUUUUGCUCCACGACUUUA
Long non-coding RNA from Austrofundulus limnaeus, 1000 nucleotides. RefSeq lists it as uncharacterized. NCBI's taxonomy places the organism in Eukaryota, Metazoa, Chordata, Actinopteri, Cyprinodontiformes, Rivulidae. The record is from RefSeq and is a predicted model, not a curated record. The transcript has 3 exons.